UUCGCAAAAAGUUGAGCAGGUCACCAUAGCAACAGUACUCGGUGAUGACCAGAACAGGCCCUAGAGCAGCCAAGAGAUUGGGAAAAGACCCGGAAGCAAAUGCGGACAACAUAAAUUAUCCUCAGCUGAUUCCAGGCCCCUGUGGAUGACCAUGGUGCGAUUGGAAGGAAGGCGUGAAAGAAGAGGGACAGCCCAUCGCUCCCCACGGGCCGGGCCGGCCUCGGCUCGCAUGCCUGCCGGCUCUCACAUGCCCCUGCCCUCCACCCUGGCCUGCCCCUCCCAGCCCCACGCACCUUUCUGCACUUUAAG
Molecule: long non-coding RNA, 309 nt
Organism: Ailuropoda melanoleuca (giant panda)
Lineage: Eukaryota; Metazoa; Chordata; Mammalia; Carnivora; Ursidae
Exons: 3
Source: RefSeq, a predicted model, not a curated record